This 385-nucleotide ribosomal RNA is filed under the name Salmonella enterica. RNAcentral describes it as "partial 23S ribosomal RNA". It matches the Rfam family "Bacterial large subunit ribosomal RNA", at positions 1292 to 1677 of the family's 2925-position model. The record is from RNAcentral. RNAcentral also lists the same sequence under 1 other name. Lineage: Bacteria; Pseudomonadati; Pseudomonadota; Gammaproteobacteria; Enterobacterales; Enterobacteriaceae.
GAAUGCUGACAUAAGUAACGAUAAAGCGGGUGAAAAGCCCGCUCGCCGGAAGACCAAGGGUUCCUGUCCAACGUUAAUCGGGGCAGGGUGAGUCGACCCCUAAGGCGAGGCCGAAAGGCGUAGUCGAUGGGAAACGGGUUAAUAUUCCCGUACUUGGUGUUACUGCGAAGGGGGGACGGAGAAGGCUAUGUUGGCCGGGCGACGGUUGUCCCGGUUUAAGCGUGUAGGUGUGUGUUCCAGGUAAAUCCGGUUCACUUUAACACUGAGGCGUGAUGACGAGGCACUACGGUGCUGAAGCAACAAAUGCCCUGCUUCCAGGAAAAGCCUCUAAGCAUCAGGUAACAUCAAAUCGUACCCCAAACCGACACAGGUGGUCAGGUAGAGA